GCCGGGCGUGAUGGCACAUGUCUGUAGUCAGCUACUUGGGAGGAUGAGACAGGAGGAUCGCUUGAGUCUAGGAGUUCUGGGCUGUAGUGCGCUAGGCCGAUCAGGUGUAUGCAUUAAGUUUGGCAUCAGUAUGGUGAUCUCCCGGGAGUGGGGAGCCACCAGGUUGCCUAAGGAGGGGUGAACUGGCCUAGGUCGGAAACGGAGCAGGUCAAAACUCCCGUGCUGAUCAGUAGUGGGACUGCACCUAUGAAUAGCAACUGCACUCCAGCCUAGGCAACAUAGUAAGACCCCUAUCUCA
Molecule: non-coding RNA, 298 nt
Organism: Otolemur garnettii (small-eared galago)
Lineage: Eukaryota; Metazoa; Chordata; Mammalia; Primates; Galagidae
Source: Rfam